AGGGACCUUCGGGGCCCUUCACACAUAGGGUCGAAAGCGACCCGUAUAGCUAAACGGAAGAGAGCAA
This 67-nucleotide non-coding RNA is filed under the name Oceanicola sp. MCTG156(1a). RNAcentral's name for it is "L2-Alphaproteobacteria ribosomal protein leader". It matches the Rfam family "L2-Alphaproteobacteria ribosomal protein leader". Lineage: Bacteria; Pseudomonadati; Pseudomonadota; Alphaproteobacteria; Rhodobacterales; Roseobacteraceae. The record is from RNAcentral.